GCGCAGCAGGCGCGAAAAACUUCACACUGUGCGAAAGCACGAUGAGGGAAUCCCAAGUGCUUGCACGUAAGUGUAAGCUGUUUCUCUGUCUAAAACGCAGAGAGAGUAAGGGCUGGGUAAGACGGGUGCCAGCCGCCGCGGUAAUACCUGCAGCUCAAGUGGUGACCGUUAUUAUUGGGCCUAAAACGUCCGUAGCCGGUUUAAUAAAUGCCUGGGUAAAUUGUGUAGCUUAACUAUACGAAUUCCGGGUAGACUGUUAAACUUGAGACCGGGAGAAGUUAGAGGUACUCCUGGGGUAGAGGUGAAAAUUCUGUAAUCCUAGGGGGACCACCACGUGG
Molecule: ribosomal RNA, 338 nt
Filed under: uncultured microorganism
Description: bacterial SSU rRNA
Rfam family: Archaeal small subunit ribosomal RNA
Source: RNAcentral